AUGGCCAGUGCUUGCGUGCUCCGUGGUGCGGUGCUUGUGGUGUGCGUCCUCCUGGUUCUCUCGUCCGCAUCUGCAGCGGCCGAGGCGGCUGGCCGGCAAAGAGGUCAUGGGAGAGAGGCCACGGCGCCGGCGGCGAUGGCAAUGGCAGCAGGAGGGCGCUUCGUCAGGAAGGUGCUGCGGGAGGAGAUGGUCCAGGCGGGACGCCAGGGCGACAUUGGCCAGUCUAAGAGGACCAGCCCCGGCGGCCCAGACCCGCAGCAUCACUAG
Molecule: ribosomal RNA, 267 nt
Filed under: Triticum aestivum (bread wheat)
Lineage: Eukaryota; Viridiplantae; Streptophyta; Magnoliopsida; Poales; Poaceae
Description: partial small subunit ribosomal RNA
Source: RNAcentral